Long non-coding RNA from Columba livia (rock pigeon), 535 nucleotides. RefSeq lists it as uncharacterized. The transcript is spliced from 3 exons. NCBI's taxonomy places the organism in Eukaryota, Metazoa, Chordata, Aves, Columbiformes, Columbidae. The record is from RefSeq and is a predicted model, not a curated record.
UCUCCUCAGCUACAACACAUUUCACUAAAAUCUUCAAGAAAUCACAUAAACAAUAUUAUAAAACUGAAAUAAAGAGAAAGAAAAUGAAGUACAAAGGUGCAGAUAUUGAGAAGAUUUUAGGAUGAAAUGGGCUGCGGUUUUGUGUGCAUCCUGACUUCUUGUAUAUUUAAAAAGAAAACUUAUCUGUCGUGGUUGUAACGGACAAACAACAUGGACCAAGUUCUUCCAGGAUGAAAGUAGUAGAUGCCAUUUGUUGCUGCAAGUGCAUUUUUAUACAGUUUUACCAAUUCAUGUGUCUCUUCAUUAUUGGUUACAAGUUACAGCAGUAACAUCUCAUUGGCUACUUUUGCUAUCAUGGAUGUUACUCUUUUACUCCCUUCUCUCUCACAGAAAAGGACACAAGAACACUGCAACACUUCUGGGAUGAACAUGGAGGCUGUUGUGAAAAACUGAAUACUCUCAGCAUUGGCGUGGUCUUUACUGCUAGAUUCUUUCACAAAUAGGUUAGUAAAACUUUGGACAAGUUAAACCAUGG